CCUACGGGAGGCAGCAGUGAGGAAUAUUGGUCAAUGGGCGCAAGCCUGACCCAGCCACGUCGCGUGAAGGAAGACGGCCCUCUGGUUUUUAACCUCUUUUUGCAGGGAAGUGUAGAAGACGGUACCUGCCGAAUAAGCCAUGCCUAACUACGUGCCAGCAGCCGCCGUCAUACGGAGGUGGCAGGUGUUGGCCGGAUUUACUGGGUUUAAAGGGCGUGUUGCCGGGUUGGUAAGUCAGAUGUGAAAUCGUGCGGCUUAACCGCAGAACUGCAUUUGAAACUGGUGAUCUUGAGUACUGGAGAGGCAGGUGGAAUGCGUAGUGUAGCGGUGAAAUGCGUAGAUAUUAGGAGGAACUCCGGUGGCGAAGGCAGUAUACUGGACAGCAACUGACGGUGAUGCGCGAAAGCGUGGGGAGCAAACAGGAUUAGAUACCCGUGUAGUC
Molecule: ribosomal RNA, 442 nt
Filed under: uncultured bacterium
Lineage: Bacteria
Description: partial 16S ribosomal RNA
Rfam family: Bacterial small subunit ribosomal RNA
Source: RNAcentral